UUUGGUAUAUUGAUGGUUCAGUGUUACUAACUUCAAUUAUUUUCUUUUAUUAAAUUAGAGGUUUAUUAAAAAAAGAAAAAGAAAAAAACAACCCUUGAAGGCACAAAGAAGCAGACUAAGGGUGCAAAUCUCGAAAAGAGAAGAAAAAACUAAGGAACAAAAAACAACUAAUAUCGAAACUCAGGAUAAUCAUCCAUUUCAUCCGACCAACGCCCAUGGACAACAUUAUUCAUUGCAAUCAUACUGGGCCUAUUGGAAAGGUCAAUCGCAAAC
This 273-nucleotide long non-coding RNA is filed under the name Salvia miltiorrhiza (redroot sage). RNAcentral describes it as "long non-coding RNA (SMIL_LNC011864)". The record is from RNAcentral. Lineage: Eukaryota; Viridiplantae; Streptophyta; Magnoliopsida; Lamiales; Lamiaceae.